AAACCUAUCCAGCAGGGGAGAUACUAUGAUUAGAAAGGUGGUUUUCCCAUAACAAGUCUUAUCCAUUGCAUUCCAGAUGUGCUGAUCCCUGUAAUUUCUCCAAAUGUGAGAGACUCAACUGCAUGAUAUAUGGUAGUGGAGGACUGUGUUCAUACUCUCCCCUG
This is a small nuclear RNA of Sorex fumeus (smoky shrew), 164 nucleotides long. RefSeq annotates it as U1 spliceosomal RNA. The record is from RefSeq and is a predicted model, not a curated record. Lineage: Eukaryota; Metazoa; Chordata; Mammalia; Eulipotyphla; Soricidae. The transcript has a single exon.